This 86-nucleotide transfer RNA is filed under the name Flavobacteriaceae bacterium. RNAcentral describes it as "tRNA-Leu". It matches the Rfam family "tRNA". Rfam says of the family: Transfer RNA (tRNA) molecules are approximately 80 nucleotides in length. Their secondary structure includes four short double-helical elements and three loops (D, anti-codon, and T loops). Further hydrogen bonds mediate the characteristic L-shaped molecular structure. tRNAs have two regions of fundamental functional importance: the anti-codon, which is responsible for specific mRNA codon recognition, and the 3' end, to which the tRNAs corresponding amino acid is attached (by aminoacyl-tRNA synthetases). tRNAs cope with the degeneracy of the genetic code in two manners: having more than one tRNA (with a specific anti-codon) for a particular amino acid; and 'wobble' base-pairing, i.e. permitting non-standard base-pairing at the 3rd anti-codon position. Lineage: Bacteria; Pseudomonadati; Bacteroidota; Flavobacteriia; Flavobacteriales; Flavobacteriaceae. The record is from RNAcentral.
GCUCAAGUGGCGGAAUUGGUAGACGCGCUGGAUUCAAAAUCCAGUUCUUAUUAAGAGUGUGGGUUCGAUUCCCACCUUGAGUACAA